AUUGCAUUGGCAAUAAUCACUCUUUGCUUGCCAUCCCAAAUUUCAGCAAACAACUAUAUCUAUUCAUCCCCACCACCACCACCUAAGCCUUACUACUACCACUCUCCACCACCUCCGGUUCACUCACCUCCUCCUCCUUACCAUUACAGUUCACCACCACCACCACCAAAGAAGCCAUACAAAUACGCUUCUCCUCCACCACCAGUUUACAAAUACAAGUCACCACCUCCACCUGUGUACAAGUAUCCUUCUCCUCCACCGCCCGUUUAUAAGUACAAGUCACCUCCUCCACCGGUGUACAAGUACAAAUCACCACCACCACCACCUAAGAAGCCAUAUAAAUACCCAUCUCCACCACCACCAGUUUACAAGUACAAGUCACCUCCUCCACCAGUAUACAAGUACAAAUCCCCUCCACCGCCAGUUUACAAGUAUAAAUCACCUCCUCCACCAGUAUAUAAGUACAAAUCUCCUCCACCUCCACCAAAGAAACCAUAUAAGUACCCAUCUCCACCUCCACCUGUUUACAAAUACAAUUCANNNNNNNNNNNNNNNNNNNNNNNNNNNNNNNNNNNNNNNNNNNNNNNNNNNNNNNNNNNNNNNNNNNNNNNNNNNNNNNNNNNNNNNNNNNNNNNNNNNNNNNNNNNNNNNNNNNNNNNNNNNNNNNNNNNNNNNNNNNNNNNNNNNNNNNNNNNNNNNNNNNNNNNNNNNNNNNNNNNNNNNNNNNNNNNNNNNNNNNNNNNNNNNNNNNNNNNNNNNNNNNNNNNNNNNNNNNNNNNNNNNNNNNNNNNNNNNNNNNNNNNNNNNNNNNNNNNNNNNNNNNNNNNNNNNNNNNNNNNNNNNNNNNNNNNNNNNNNNNNNNNNNNNNNNNNNNNNNNNNNNNNNNNNNNNNNNNNNNNNNNNNNNNNNNNNNNNNNNNNNNNNNNNNNNNNNNNNNNNNNNNNNNNNNNNNNNNNNNNNNNNNNNNNNNNNNNNNNNNNNNNNNNNNNNNNNNNNNNNNNNNNNNNNNNNNNNNNNNNNNNNNNNNNNNNNNNNNNNNNNNNNNNNNNNNNNNNNNNNNNNNNNNNNNNNNNNNNNNNNNNNNNNNNNNNNNNNNNNNNNNNNNNNNNNNNNNNNNNNNNNNNNNNNAAAAGUGGUAACAUACACCUUGAGGUGCAUGUUGCUAAAACACUUAUUCUAAAAAAUAAGUGGGUGUACGUUAGCAACUCCUAUAAGCAUUUGCUAGAAUACACCCACUAAUUUUUUAGAAGGUGUGCUUUAGCAACUAUAAUAACUAAAAAGUGAUUAAAUACACUCUAAGGUGUACGUUGCUAAUGCACACCUUCAUAAAAAUGGGUGGGUGUGUUAUAGCAAAUCUCAUAUAUAUAUAUAUAUAUUAGUCUCAUUAUUAUCUUUAUACAAAUAGAAUACAAUAUUUUUAGUGUAUCUUUUUCUUCUCAUUUUUAUCCUUUAUAUAAAUUAUUUUAUUUAAAAUUUUAAAUUUUUUUUAAUUAAAUAAACAAGUUUUGAAAUAUCUAUACUUUUACCUAAAAAUAUACUGAAUUUUGAUGUAACAUUUUCUUUAAAUUUUACCCUUUACUUAAUUUUUUUGAAAUAUCUACCACUAUCUCACAUGUAUUGUUUUUGUGUGCCUAAUAAUUGAUUAAUAAAUGAUAUUAAUGUAUUUAUAUGUUUAUAUGCUUUUGUAGGAUUUGAGGAAUAUUGGAAAUAAAAGAGAACAUAGUGCAAAGCAGGGAAGAUGCAUUUCACAAUAAUAGAAGGAAAAAAAAAAGGAAGCAAAGUUUCCACCACGUAUUUCUCUCAAGAAAAGUCACUUUUUUUUUUCUUAUUUGUUUUGUUAUGUAUUAUGUAUUAUAUAUUGUCAUUAUUAGUAUGCUUGGAUUUUGAAUUUAGAUUGUAAGGCACUGUGUGCAAUUUCAUAAUGCACUUUGUUAAGGGGUUUCGAAGAAAAUAAAAUUUGAAUAUAAUUUCUGCUUCUCAGUCUUUGUAUAUUUAAUUAGAAAUUAUAUUCUACAAUAUAAUUAACUUUGUAUAGACAAAAACUUAAUGUGAUUUUAAUUAAUUAAUUAAUUAAUAAAUUUCAUGUUUAAACCAUUAUUUAAUUAGUCCAAAUGAUAAGGUCUUGGACCCCUUAAGUUAGUGGUUAUGGGAUAAAUUUAUGACUCUUACGUAUAAAAAAAAUUGAUUGGGAUAAGAAAUCAAUCUUAUAUGCGCUGCAAAUUCCUAUCAAUACCAGAUACUUUGAUACCACGUGACAAGAUUCAAACUUUCACCCGUAAUUCUUAAGUACGAAAAUUAAAUAUGCAAAGUAGGCUAAGUAUAUUUAUUGUAUAACAAAAAAUAUGCCGUAAAAAGCACAAAGAUUUUUAAUGAGCUUAUAAUUUAUUUAUACUAGUUUAUGUUUGUUUUGAUAAGUUAAUUUAAUUACUACUUCAUUCGGACACAAAUAUAAGAAAAAAUAAUCAUUUAUGCGGUGUUUAAGAAAUUUAGUUAAGUGUAGUUAAUUUUUUUGAUUUAAUGCAAAAUAUGAGUUAAAUUUAUUAUAUUACCCUUUGAAAAGUGAUUUAUGCCUUGAAAAUCACAUAAACUUUUGAAAAGUGAAAUUAUUAAAUAAUGGUAUAUUAGGAAUAGUAGUAUUAAUUAAUUUAAAAAUAGUUGAUUUUUGCUUAUAUUUGUGUCCAAAAUUUAAAGUGUUUUUUUCUUAUAUUUGUGUCCGGAGGGAGUAACUUAUAUAACUAUUCUUUAGUCUAAUUUUAUCUCUAUUAUCUUCCUUAACACACGCAUUAUAAAAAUAUCCCCAAAAUGGCAAUAGUUGUUGUUAUCUGAAGAGAUUGGGUAAUUGGCAACUUCUUGUUUUAGGAUAUCUCAAUUAAGUUGACAAGUUGUAUGUUCACCAAGCGAAUUUGUUUUUUAAUUUAUUGGAGUUGAGAAUCUAACCCAAAAUUGUUAACGUACUACAUAAAUAUCUUAUCAUUAGACCAAAUUUAGUGACUUUUCCUUGAUUUACUAAGCAAAACAACAUGCUCGCUUAUUGAAUUCUUGUACUAGCUACCUCAAGUUGAUCUUUUUCAUUCCAUUAAACAUGUUGCUUGCAGGGAUAACUCUAGCUUGACUAAAAUGACCUUUAUUGAUUUCUUCUUUAUGUUUUAUCAAUCAUAUUUAGUACAUACGAAUAACAAGAAAAUUACUAAAUAAAAGAUUCAUCUUUUUUUGGAUGAUAUAAAAAGAUUCUUCAAAUUAAUAGUUAUGGUAGGAAAUUAUAAAAAAAAAAAACUAUGCUAGGAAACAAAUUUGUUUCACGUUGAAAACUCAUAUUUUCUCAUGUUAGUUUUUUUUUUUUUUUUAUAGUCUACAUUCACCUUUUAAUUUAUUUUUUUAUAGUCUACAUUUCAUUGGACUCUCCAUUCACUUGGUAACAAUACACAUGACUAACAUGAGCAAAAGAUAAAUAUAAAAAUUUAGUUAUACAUAACUAAAAAAAUGAAGAAAAAAAAGUUAAUAAGAAAGCGAGGUAUAAAAUAAAAUACUCCCUUCGUUUCAAAUUACUUGACGUUUUAGAAAAUUUUAGUUUUUUCAAAUUAUUUAUCGUUUUGAUAAUUUAAGGUUAUAUUUUGUCUAUUAUACCCUCCUUUUUAUUUUAAAUCUUUUUAUUGUAUCUUUUUUUUUUUACUAAACUUCUUCGAAUAAUUUUUUUAUUGUUUUUUUUAAAAAAAUUGUUACAUAACAUAUUAAUUUUAUUGUAAAGAGAAAGUGUGUGAAAAAAAAAUAUUGGUGAAUUAAAAUAAGGGUAUAAUAGAAAAAUAAGAUGCAAAAAUACACUUUCUUAAUUUUUUAUUUAUUUUUUCUAAAACGUCAAGUAAUUUAAAACGGAGGGAGUACUACCUAAUGUCUUCGGAGCACUAAAACUAAAUAUAGUAAAUAAAUCUUGAAAUUUUUUUAUUUUACUUUUUAAAAUUAUAAAUAAUAUAUAUAUACUUGUUUUAGUGUAAAAAUUAUUUCUUUUACAUUCUUUAAUUAACUUAGUUAGGAUGACUUUGGGUAAAAAUGUAGAGAUAGCCUGAACAAACAUGGGGCUAAGGCAAUAUCUGACUCAUUUGUCAUAUUUACCUCAAGUUCCCGAAUAGAUAUUUUCCAUCAAAAUAUUAAAUAAUAAACUUUAAAUCAAUUGGUCCCCAAACCCAAAAUUAAAGUCAGCAUUUAAUAUUUAGCAUUCACAUGUAAAGACUUUUGGUUUAGGUUAGGUAAUUGUCCUACCUCUGGAAGAACAUUCAAAAGAGGCCAAAUGAUGAUAUUACUAAAUAAUAAUGUAAUGGCUAUUAUUCGAAUUAUUUUGACUCUUUGUGUGGUUUUUAGGUUUGUUGGUGUAACAUUCCCAUCAUUUGUUAAUAAAUAAAUGAAUCUCACUUAAUCAUCUUAAAAUUGAGGAUAAUAAGUAGUAUUAUUAAUAAUUAAAAUUGUUAAUAAAUAAAUGAAUCUCACUUAAUCAUCUUGUUCAUGAUCAUGCUAGUGUAUGCAUAGAAUAGUCUAAUGGUAUCAAUAAUUUGUCGCUAAAUGAUUGUUUUUGACCUUAAAAAAUUACUAGCUGAUCCAUCAAAUUUUAAUGAUUAUUUUGUUGAAUAAAAAUAAUUUUUUGAUGGACGACUACAGCAAGGACUUUAGCAGCAUUAUCUUUUGGCAGACGCAGCCCUCUUAUAAGUUAUGUCUCUUCAAAUGUAUGUCUUUUUCUAAUAAAAAAAUCGAUUUAAAUAAUCCCUCCAUACCUUAUAUAAGAUCAUUUAAUAAAGUUCAUGUGUAUUUAAAAAAUAAUUAUAAUAAUAAAUUUAUCAAAAAUAUAUACUACUAUAUAUUACAUAUUCAGUACCCCUACAAAUAUUGAUAUCGCAUAAGAUAGAGAAAAAUAAUUUACAUUUUUUAAUAAUAAAUUAAAUAAGAUAUAUAAAUUUUUGAAGUCUCAUGUAUUAAACGUAAACAAAGUGGAAAAUUGUUCAAUAAGACUUCUUGGUUUAGUUACCUUCUUUUUUAUCCAAUGAAUGAAAAGAUUUUUCUAUUUUCUAUUUAAGAUUUUUUAUCCAAUUUGACGUCUCGCAGACGAGUGGAUCAUUGGUCAAAUGUGACUUAUUUAAGAUUUUCGACUAGAUAUUCAACUUUUUGAAAAUCAUUGGCUUAAACCGAGGUCCUCUCUGUAAUUUUCAGUAUAUACGUUUAUAAGAUUUUAUAUAAAGUUUCCCAUUGUAUAACUUCACAAUGUUAAUAAAGUUUGGAUAAAUUUCGCUUAAUUAGCACCUUAGAUAAAUUUAGUAUUAAUAAAGUUUAAAUUUAUCUAUUUACUGAGUUUGAAUAGUGUAAAAUAGAAAGACCAAAAGAAAGCAUGAAUGAAAAGAAAGCCUUAAAAAAAUGUUAGCUACUGUUAUAAGGGUGGUGACGUUUAAUGCAUUAUUUAAUCAUGGUUACAAGCUAAGGAAGGUUAAAAGCUAAACCUUAUAGCUAUAUAAUGGAUUGGAUUCAACAUAGAGGUUUGUCGAUCGUCAUUUUUUAAAGCAAUUCCAAGUUGACAAUCGACACUAUAUAUUCACAGGACAUCCGACGAGACAACACUACAAAAUUUGAGUCUAUAUAUUAUUAAUACUCCCUCCGGAAUGGUUGAAUGUUAUAAUAUAUAUAUUUGCCGAUUCAAAAAAAAAAAAAUUCCCUCCGGUCCUUUUUUUAACCGUGGAUAUGUAUUCCCUACGGUUGCUGAAAGCUCAGUAAAUCCAUAUCCCAAUUUGUUGGAAAAGGAUUCCCUCCAGUGUGUUAUUCACUGGAGAGGGUGCAGUGGUGAUCAAUACCAUUAAAAUUUUAUCUUUUCAUGUUUUUCAUUUUUUUUUAUUUUCCAAUGAAAGGCCUAGAUUGGACUGGAGAGAACAAUUCACGGGAGAUAAUCCACUCCCCAAUUUGUUACAUCUUCUUAGUCUUUUCAAGCUUAAUUACAAUUACAUCGUCAUAAUACUCUCAAAAGUGUAUUUUACGAAUUUAGAUCCUCUCAUUUAUUCUCUUCUACAAAUUCUCUUCUUUUUUCUAUCUUUCACUUAAUUUUACUCCCGAGAAUCAAUUGAUUAUCUAUCAACCUAUUUAUUUAAUAAAUUAAAAUUAAUUAUUCCAAUUGUUUUAACAAAGUAUAACAAAAAAUAUGCUAUUAAAACAUAUACUAGUACUCUAGUAGUUUUUUCUCUUUAAAGUGAAUAAUUAUAUUACAUACAAUGUUCCGACCAACUAAACUAUGAUCAUAGGUAGGAUUGUUCAUGGUUUGGAUCAGUGAAAAAACUGAACCGAACCAUACUGAAAUGUCACAACAGUUCUGUAAAAUCGAACCGUUUAUAGUUUCUUUUGAAUUGAAUUGUCAUAAUAGUUGUUAUAACAGUUUAGUUAACCGGUUUAGUACUUCAGAACCGAACCGGACCAAAACCCGAAGAAUUGAACCAAUUUUGACGUUGGAAAAUUGAAACAAUAGAAAUUUGAAAGUUGUAUACUUGGUCGAUAGGGUGAAACUUCUCUCUUGAAGGUGGUAUAUGGCAAAAAAUCCUGGUAACCCUUGCUCCUUCUAUGACUGGGAGGUGCAACCUUCUUGGUGCUGGAGCCGUUAGAGUUUGUGUUGUGGCGAACCUCAGUCUUCAUGGUAUUCAUGGAGUUGAGGCCUGUUUCUUGUUAGGAAAUAACAACACUAAAGAAAAAUAAACACAAUAAAAAACACAAGAAUAUAAUGUGGAAACUCCAAAUCGGAGAAAAAAACCACAAACAGUUGUCUAAACCGACAACUAGAGAAAAAUCACUAUGUAGAAAUUAUUACAACACAUAGAUCGACUUCUCUCACUCUCACCCCAAUGCCCCAAUACAACCACACUCUCACAAAACAAAUAUUUAAACUAAGAGUCAGAUAUAAGCUUAAAGUGCUACUAACAUGUGCAAAUUAUAAACAAAGAACUUAGGUCCAUUAUAUAGUUUUGAUUUUCCCCUUGCUUCACAAUUCUAAGCGAUGUGGGACUUUCAAUAACUAUUUUUUAACCUCCUUCUUUAUUUAAGAAACUAGGCGAUGUGAGACUUAACAAUCAACCCCAAAAUUUCUUUCCUCCUUUUAUUGGUGUUAUUCUCUUUCUCUCCUUUUUGUUGGUGCUUAUUAUCUUAGGAGCCUCCUUAGGUGUUUUAUAUGUCGGAGCUUUUUAUACCCUUGCAUAUAUUUUGUCUGGGGUUUUUAGUACUUCUUGUACCUUCCACCCCUCUUCUGUUCUUUAUUUCUAUAUAUUAUAUAUAUUUUGCCAUGAAAAAAAAAAAUAGAAAGUUGAAAACAUCCAUUUUCUUAUUUCACGGCGAAAACCCAAAGAUUAGGAUCAAUCUCAUAUAUAAAUUAGGAUCAAUCUCAUCAGGGACGGACUUGGAGGGAGGCAAGCAGUGGCCAAGGCACCCCCUCCCCUUUAUCUACAUACACACAUAUACAUAACAUAAUAUAUCAUAUUAUAUCAUAUACCAUUUUUUUUAAGCAAUAUUAUAUCAUAUACCAUUAGUAUAUUAUAAUUUGUAAAUAUAUCUAUUAUUUAUCAUUUACAUUAUAUAAAUAAGAAUUUAAUUGAUAUGUAUUUACGGUGUAAAAUAUUUAUAUUGUCGAACAAUUAUAAGUGUUGAAUUAUUAAAAAUAUAGCCUUUUAAUAAAUAAAAAAUUAGUCGUUUCGAGUGGUAAGAGUUUUGAGUCUCUUAAGUGGUCAAAAGUUUCAUAUUUGGCUCUUUCGUAUGAACAAAUUUCGAUUGAGGGAAAGAACAUAUUUUUUGUGCCCCACAUAUUUCUCGGAGGCGAUUAGUCAUCAGUCACCAUUUAAAAAAAUUACAUGGACAUGUGUAAUAGAAAAUCUACAUUCAUUUUUAUUAUUAUUUUACUAUUUUUCGACCCCCGGUAUGAUAAGCUUCUGGAUCCGUCCCUGAAUCUCAUAUAUAGAAAAUAAAUUAGUUACCUCAGUUUUCACUUUUCACUGCUAAUUUGGUUUCUCAGGAUAUGAAUCAAAUAUUCAAUAUGCACAAAUUUUCACCGCUAUAAAUGAAUGAAAGGUCACACAUGGUAUAAUCAAUUGCAACAAACAAAUUCUAUCAAAAAAAUACUGCAACAAACAAAUUCUAUUUUUUCUUUCAAUUUUUGGUUCUUAACGUGGAUUCAGUUCGGUUUUUGUGAAUUGCUUAGUUAUUUUGGUUUGUUUUUGUGAAUUGCUUUUUUCAGUUCGGUUCAUACAGUUCGGUAACAGUUCUUAGCAGCUCGGUUCAGUUCGAGAACUGUGCUUUAAAUAUUGGUUCUGUUCGUGAACUUCUAUUUUGGUUCAGUUAUUUUCAGUUCAGUUCAAUACAUUUCAGCAGUUCGGGUCGGUUCAACGGUUAUUUUGACCACUCCUAAUCACAUGAAUAUAAUAUAAUAAUUUCUUUUGGCUGCCGGAUUUAUUAAUUAGAAGUAAAUUAACAAUGAAAUAGUUUGUAUAUUAUGUUGUCCACAGUUGUAACAUAAUUUCAAAAGACAAUUCGUUAUUUUCAAAUUUGAAAAUGAUAUACAAUGAUAAAGAUAUCUAAUCACUUUCAUAAAUAAAUUAAGAGUCAUGCAUAUUGCCGACACAAAUUAAGAAAAAUGAAAACAUAAUUUCUUAUAUUAAAAAUUGACAAAUUUUAAACUUUAGAAACAUCAUUUCUUAUAUUAACUAAUUUUUUUUAUGAUAAAAAAAGACAUGUAAUCGCCUAAACACUUUGGCUAAUUCAUAUAGUAGUAAUUUGAAGAAAAAUAAGUAUUGCAUGUUGUCAAAUUGUGUACAUCUAAGUUCUAAAAGUCAUUGUAAUAGUUUCAUCAAUAUAAGUCAUUCAUUGUAUGAGUUUCCACCAAUAUAUUAGUCAUUGUUUGUAAUUUGAGUAAACCUAUAUCUACUUGCCGUACAUAAUAAAAUAUAAUAUUGAUUAUUUUAUUUGUACAUGGACGAAAUGGUAAGUCAUUAUAAAUUCUCACACACAUAAAGUGGAGGGAUUGGGAUUCAAAUCCCGAUCAUAACGCUUGACCUAAAAUUUCGACAUUUCUUCCAAUUGACGUAGAAUUCGUGGACAAUAUAAUAUUGAUGGGAAAAGAUUCAAAACAACCUAAUUAUUUCCUCAUUUUAUUUCAGAACAACCUUAUUUUCUUGAUGUUACUUUAAUUUUCUUUAUUAUUCAAAUCACUUUGAAACCGCUUAUAUUAUGUGAUUUAAUCCUAAGUUUAAUUUAAUUGAACAAUCCUUGGUAAAUAUUAUUACUUGACGAUAAUUUAGUACACUUACUAAAUAACCAAUCAAAUGUUGGUGCCAUAGUCGGGGGGGAUUAUUGAAUUCGUUCAACAAUUAUAAUUUAUUUAGGAACUUAUUUUUCUACCAAUUAAAAUAAAAAUACAAAAAUAAUUUAUUUUUAAUUUUUAUUGUGCGGUGCUACUAGGGUAUUGUUUGCUUUGCGAGGCACUAUGGCUGAAGAUAACCCAUCAUCACCGCCACCUAGGUGUACUAAUGUACUAUGUGUGAAUAUUGCAAAUGGACCGACUCAGAAUAGGUAUCCUUUGGGUUCAAACAAGCGAAUCCUGUGAAUUUUGAUAUUAAAAAUAUUGUUAUGACAGGUUUAUGAUAGAAUUAGUUUGACGGUAAAGCUAUCAGAGAUCUUUGGGAACAUCUUUCCUCUAUAAGAUUUAAACUGGAGAAGAGGAAGUGUCCAAAUCACAACCUUAAUAGCGACAGUAAACUAUAAGAUUUUCAAAAACAUUUUUUAAACUAUCACUACAACAUUUUAUGGCUACCGCAACGCCUAAAUUUUUGGAUGUAAAAAAACCGUUCUCGUAGAAUAUCAAAGACAACACUUUUUGUAAACCGUUGCGAUAGUAUAUAGAUUUUUGUCAAUUGUUUGCAACAGUAAAAAACCGUUCUCAUAGAUACCAACAAGAACGGUUUUCUCUCUAUAAUCUACAACAACGGUUAAGAACAGUACUCAUAUAAUUUUAAAUUAUUUUAAUAAAAUAUGUUUUUCAUUGUUUUUUAUUUUGUGAAAUUUUGUAGAAAAACGUUUUCAUAGCCUAUUGCAACAAAAACGAUUUUCUAUCUGUAAUCUAUAACAACGGUUAAAAUUUGUACUCAUAUAAUUUUAAAUUAUUUUAAUAAAUAUAUCACUGUAUAAAUUAUUUGAAGAAAACAGUUUUUUAAUUUUAAAAAGAUUUAAUUNNNNNNNNNAGAUUUAAAAAAAAAAAACUUAUCUUCCCAAAAUCACCACACAAGAACGUGUAUUCUUGUUAAAAAAAAAAACAAACACUGCAUCUUUAACUUCCCCAAGAUGAAUAUAUACUGUUUGUUCUUGUUGAUUUCAUUCCCAAAAUCCCAAUUGAUUCUACUUCUCAUCUCGUUUCUUUUUGUCGCAAAAGUUUCUGUUUCAAUUUCAUCACCAAAAUUGAUUUCAUUCCCAAAAUCCCAAUUGAUUCUACUUCUCAGCCUCAUUGAAGGAAACAUGAUUCUAGUCUUCAUCUCGACAAAACGCUCUUCCUUCCUUUUUCCGAUUCUAUUCUCGCAAGGUACUCACUUUUUCCUCUCCUUUUUUUUCCAAAUUACGAUGAGAAUGGUUUUGCGGAUUUCAGUUUUGAUUUUAUUACGCAUUGUAAUUUUGAGUUCAGAAUUUGGCUAUUCAUGAGUUUGUGGCUAAACAUGUAAUUCUGAGUUCAAAACCAACACUUUUAUUAUACUCAUAUGAACUAAAUGAAUGAGAUUUUGUUUUCUUUUCUGAACUCUAUUAGAAAAUUGGUGGGCAAGGCAAACUAGCUCAGUUGUCCUAUUACCAUGGAUGGACAAAUAUACAGUCUGUUGAAAGCCACUUCACUUUAAAGCCAUUGGUCCACAAACCUAGGCCACACCUCAGCAAAGAAGGAAAAGUCAGACUUUAACAUUAUUCAUACUUGUAAAAAAAAAACAUUAUUCCCUAUUAUUUAUUUUUUGUUUUUGGACCUUCAAAUUUUUAUUUUUAUUUUUAUUUUUACUUUUUCUUUUAAUAUUAGAUAUUUAAUCCUUGUAAAAUAUAUAGUAGAUAUUUUAACAAAUUCCAAGAGACUAAGAAAAUAGCUAAGAUAAAAAAAAUUGUAUAUUUACUUACAUGAACCAAAAAUAGAUUUAAUUAAUCUUGUAAAAAAAUAAUAUUUAAUACUAUAAGUAAAGACUUUUAGUUUAGGUUUGGCCAUUUUCCUACCUCAAGAACAUCCAGAAGAGUCCAAAAAAUAAGGCUAAAUAAUUCAGAGGUCUUAUUCGAACUAUUUUGACUCUGUACGUAGGUUUUAGGUAUGUUUGGUGGGUAACCUACAGCCUUCAAUCAUUCCCAAAAUUAGUUAAAUGAAUCUAUCUAUCUAUCUAUCUUAAUUAUCUUAAUAAUUAAAAAUAAAUUGAGAAUCAUAUCUUGUUCAAGAUCAUGCUUGUGUAUGCUACAAUAGUUUCUUGCAUGGUAUUAUUUGUUCAUCGUUACUGUAGUGAAAUACGGAGUAAUUAUUUGCUUAUAAUAAAAUAAGAGUGCAAAAUGUACCUAUGAGUAUAAUUCAAUUAAUAGAAUUAUCAUAUUUUAUAUGUAAGAUAGUGUUGUAAAACGGUUUACUGAGUUUAAUAAAAAACAGAAAAACGAUUUUUUCAAAAAUGGCAACGAAACUAUUAUUGGCUGAGUCGCGUACUAGGUCGCUUUCUUUAAGACGUUUCGCGGAACUACUCGAANNNNNNNNNNNNNNNNNNNNNNNNNNNNNNNNNNNNNNNNNNNNNNNNNNNNNNNNNNNNNNNNNNNNNNNNNNNNNNNNNNNNNNNNNNNNNNNNNNNNNNNNNNNNNNNNNNNNNNNNNNNNNNNNNNNNNNNNNNNNNNNNNNNNNNNNNNNNNNNNNNNNNNNNNNNNNNNNNNNNNNNNNNNNNNNNNNNNNNNNNNNNNNNNNNNNNNNNNNNNNNNNNNNNNNNNNNNNNNNNNNNNNNNNNNNNNNNNNNNNNNNNNNNNNNNNNNNNNNNNNNNNNNNNNNNNNNNNNNNNNNNNNNNNNNNNNNNNNNNNNNNNNNNNNNNNNNNNNNNNNNNNNNNNNNNNNNNNNNNNNNNNNNNNNNNNNNNNNNNNNNNNNNNNNNNNNNNNNNNNNNNNNNNNNNNNNNNNNNNNNNNNNNNNNNNNNNNNNNNNNNNNNNNNNNNNNNNNNNUGUGAUAUUCGACAUUGUGUGUGGUCUCCCUUUCUUACAAAAGUGGGUACCCCAAGGGCACACCCUUGGUUGCCAACUUGUGAUAUAUAAACACUACCAAGUGGUGUGAUUUUUCCAAUGUGGGACUCAAAUAGUCUUUUUUCAAUUCACACUACACAUGGUUCUUACACUUGUGUUUAUUUCAAUACCAAGUUCCCUCCAAAUUCCUUCAUCAUGUUCCAACAGAUAGAGAUUCGAAUUCAGAUCUCCCAUUUAUUUAUUUUUCAAGAGGUGAAUUUCUAGCCAUUAGUGACAAAAAAAUAAUAAUAAAAUAAGAGUACGGGCAAAAUAUAAAACACUCCAAUUUAGCUCGUUUUAAUUUUAAUUAUGUUGUUCGGCGUUUUGCUAGUGAAGCGGCGUGUACUCUUUCUUAAUUGGUUUUUCGGGUACGUCUUAUGCUCAUUUUAGUGUAAUUAUAUAUUUUAGUUUUUUUUCUUCUUUAUAGACAAAAUGAAAGUCAUUAUAAAGUCACUUACAAAAAGUGAAGGAACUGGAGUUCAAAUCCGGUCAUAACAUUCGAUCUAAGAAUUUUGAUAUUUCUAUCCGUUGAAUUAGGAUUUAUGUACUAGUUAAUUAUUCUAUCUUUUCUAAAAAUUGUAUAAUUACACUGUCUUUACUAAAAAUACUUACUAGCUUACUAUAUAACGGUAAAACCUCUAUUAUUUUUUUCAAGUGUAAAACCCCUAUUUUAUCAUUCAUGCCACAGGUUAAUUUUUAUUUAUUUAUCAAGUAGUAUGUAUUUGUAUUGUAUAUAUAUAUAUAUAUAUACUAUUACGUUCUUACAAUACAUUUGAUAUAUUAUUAACGAAAAUGCUAACAAUAGUGUUUAGGACAUUCUUCAAAGAAUUAAAAAGUUAACUUUGUAUAAAAAAUUAUAAUAUUUUGUUAAAGUAAAAAAAUUAAAUAUAUAUUAACCAACCGAAUAGUCUCCCAGCACAAGGUGUGUCAAAAAAGACAACAAAAGUUUACAAAACCAUCAAAGCGAAGCAACAACAUGAAUAACAGAGUUAGUCAAUGCCCAAACAAGUAAACAGACUUGACCGCUAAUUAUGGUAGUUGAAACUAGAUUAAUUCGUUGUAUUCAACCACCAGUAGGAAUAUAGUUUGACGUUUUUCAAGAAUUGAGGUAUAAGGACAUUUUUGAAAAACCUAUGAUUUCUUUCGUUCCAAACACAUAAAAGGCAAAUGAGUUGCAGAAAGGAGCACCGCGCUCGUAGACCACCUAAUGAAUAAGUAAACCGAAGAAAAUAGUUUGAUAGAUUUUGAAUAAGCCAAUCCACGAUUGAACUAACUAUCAAAGGAAGUCAAAGAUGCUACAAGAGAUAAAUAAGUGUUGAGCUUAUUUUAUUUAUUUAUUUUUGAAAUGGCAAAAAAUAUUAUUAAUAAUAACCAGUCUCUGCACAAGACGAACAUAGGCCGGGAUAAACGGAAAUACAAAACAGAGCUGCCGUAUAUAAGCGGAACACCAAUGAGAAAGUUAAAAGACAUACACCACCUAGUACACACUCUACGGUCACCAUACCACCAAGAGCACACACCACAAAUACUAGACCACCAAAGAGGUGUUAGGAUCAAUUCAGUAUGCAGGCUUAGAAUUGUGCAGUCACAGUUAGCGUGGCCUGCAAGGCAACUGGGCUGCAAGCUUGUGCGCGCGCGUGGGACUUGGGCUUGGCUUNNNNNNNNNNNNNNNNNNNNNNNNNNNNNNNNNNAUUUGUAUAGUUAGUUAGUUUGUUGUAAAGUUAGUUACUUGUAUUGUGUGUUGGCCUAUAUAAGGGGCUUGUAUUGUGGUGAAUUAGUAAUGAAGCACGAUUAUUGCUUAACAAGAGGACCAUCAAACCGACCCAAAAAGAUGCCCUAAGACUCUAACUCCUGAUCUCGAAUCAAAAGUGAUCCGCCCAUCAGAAUACAAGGAACAACUUUGUGAGGCAAAAAUUAAUGGGACAACGACAGGAUGAAAACCUAGACAGCUAAGUCUCCAGCUCACGGUCAACACCGAUGCGAAAAUGGUUGACCAACUAACAGUUAAGUGUUAAGCUUAUUGUCAACAUUAUCGCAGCCAGACACAUAAGAGUGAGCUUCUGGAGUGAUAAUGUCUCACCUUAGCUUUUUCAACACACAAUCCCAAAACCACCCGCCUCCUACACCAUGAUGGAUUCUCACAAUCUCCUUCCAUCAAAAACCUCUUUCAAACACCUUCUCUCCUUUCCAUAACUAUAAUUAAAAUUACUUUUACCCCCUGCUAUCUGCAGUAAAUGCUUUGCAUAGGAAACUUUAAUCUUGAUAGAGAAUUUGUGGAUUUAUUUUUUAUGUCUUUUCAUUUUCAUAACAACAACGAUUCAAGGUGUCAAUUUCUUUGAAGAUUUUUCAUAACUUUUUCCGUGUUUGGAGUCAAGGUUGAAAUUAUGAGUUUGUUUUGUAUUAAUUAAUGAGUUUUAAAUAUGUUUUUUCCGUUUGAAAUUAAAGAUGUACAUCAUAUGAAUAAAUGAUGAACAAUCUGAUUUCCUGUUUUUAGGCUUUUUUUCUUUUUAAAUUUUUUGUUUAAUUAAUGUGUUUUAUAAUAGAAGCCACAUGGAAAUAAAUAAACUGAGAUAAAAAGCUAAUAAACUGAGAAAUAAUUAAAAAGCCAACUUAGCUUGCCACAUCACUUAUUUUAUACUGUCAGAUGUCACGAGAGUCCAAAAACAAAGUAUUUUCAAAUUAUGAAGAUGGCAUAAAAAUUACAGAGCAGAAAAUCAAAAUCCAUUCAAAUGACAUGACAUGGCAUAAAUUAAAGUAAAUUAAAUCCAAAAAAAUUAUUUAUUUAUUAUUAUAAAAAGUGUGGACUUAGUAAAAAUGUAGAAAUAUUAAUUAUAAAUAAUUUCUAAUAUAUAACUAUGUAAAAUGUGUUUUCUUUAUCUGUGUAAUUUUUUCAAAGUAUUCCUUAUAUAAAAUGGAUCGGGAAGAGUUUCAUAAUUUUUAAUAGCCACCAGAUUUGCUCCCCUGAUUGUUGUUUAUUAUUAUAUUUCCCCACCUAAGUUAGAACAUAAUUAUAUUUCAAAAUUCGUUAUUCAAAUUUGAAAAUGAUGCGAUGAUAAAGACAUCUAAUCACAUCAUCAUUAAGAACACACAUGUAAUCACUUAAAUACUUUGGUUAAGUAGAAAUUUGAUAGUGAAAUAGUACUCCGUUUGAAAAUAAUGUGCAUUCAAUUAAUCAAAGAGCUAUAUAUUUGAAAGUAAAAUAAUUAUUUUUUUUAUUAAAAAGUGAGUCAUUUUAAAACUUUUGUUAAAUCGACAUUCACUUAAAAAUUAAAUUAGAGAGAAUAGUUGAAAAAAUAGUACAGUAUGCAUGCUUCAAAAUUUUUAAGUAAACCUAGCUUACUUGUGGUGCAUAAUAAUUAACUGCGAUUUACAAAAGUCAGUGUAUAUAUGUUCCUUUCGCAAAAAAAAAAUAUGUUCCUUUCGCACAUAAUUAAUUAUUUCAUCCUUCUUUAAAUAAUUUUUUUGUUAUAAUAUAUUCUUUGUCAAAAACAAAAAAUAAUAUAUUCUUAGAUCAGGGCCGGCCCGAGGGCAAAGCGAUCCAAUAAAGGAUUUUAGACAUCACAAUAAAACUUAUUUUAGACAUCUAAUUAUGUUGGGUCGACCCUAUCUUAUGAUUUUAGAUAUUCACGUUAAUUUAAUCUCUAAGAAUUAGAUGUGUUGGCUCUUAGGUGUUGGAUUGGAGAGAUUGAAUCUAAAAAUUAUUAAGGCUAUAUUUAAUCUCUAAAUAUCACUCAAUCUAGCCUUAAAUAUUGAUCAAAUAUAUAUAUGAGUUAUUUAAUAAAUCUAAAAAAAUAAGUACUAAAUAUUUGUUUAAAAGGUCGAAAAUUCUUAUUACUUUAGAGGGAUAUACUACUAUAUAUCAGUCAUUUUAAUACUUAUAGAGAUACUAUACUAGUACAUAUAUGUCAUUUUAAAAACAUUAAAUAAUUCAAGAUGGGAGUAGUUUUGGACUCUUAAUUACGUGAAGAUUCAACCAAUUCUUUUUCUAAAAAAAAUUAUGACUUAAAAUUUUCUAAUAAUUGAUAUUUUAUUUGCGAUGGUACAAGCAUUGAUUAAAUUUCUAUCGUCUAACCUGCUCCAAUAUGAACAUAAUAACAUGGUACCAAAAAAACUAUGAACAUAACCUCAUAUACUGACUAGCUCCAUGCAUAUACUUUUCCACGUUAAAAAAAAGCUGAAUCAUAUUUCUAAUUAUUGGCAAUUUUUAAAUGCAUAACAAUAUCUCGUGGAUUAUACACCUUCCCGCAGACAUCAUCACGAUUGAUCAUUGUGGAUACUACCCCACAAAUUUAUUUUUCAAAAUUUAUAUUGCUCGAUAUAUUUUAAAUUCAGUCAUGAUAAUAAUUUUGGGAAAUGAUAUGUAUAGCAGGUAAAUUCUAAUAUUGACUACUUCAUCAAGUGGUCCAUGGUGGAACAGUCCUGAAUAGCAUUAUAACGAAUAUAAAUUUUACAAAAUUCACCGUUGGAUUGAAAGGUUAUAACAUAUAGAUCAUCCAUAGAAAAAUUUAGAAAAACUGAAAAUCAUUUGAUAUGUUAUUGAGACACAUCAAGAUUAACGGUUUAUUAGAUAACGUAAAUCUUGAUGGGUCUCAAUAACAUAUCAAAUGAUUUUCAAAAAAUUUUAAAAAAUUUAUGGAUGAUCUAUACGAUAUAAACUUUCAAUCCAACAAUAAAUUUCGUAAAAUUCAUAUUCGGUAAAUCACUUAUUCAUGGUGGACCACUUGUGAAGGUGGUCCACCUAACAUUAGCCAUUUAUAGCGAAAUAAAUUUCCCGAAUUUAUCACAAACAAGUGUGUAAGUUUUUUUUUUUUUUUUGACAAUAAACAAGUGUGUAACUUAUAUACCACUAUNNNUCCACUAAUUUCGGAAUUAAAGUAUGAAUAAUAUUGUAAUAUAAUAAUAAUUGGAAAAAACUUAGGUGUAGUAGCCUAAGUCAUGUUUCUACUGUUCCCAAUCAGAAUUUUACACGGAUAUUUUUUUUUUUCUUCUUUCUUUCUGCAACUCAUUGCCACGAAUAAUCGACGCCCACCCAACAUAGGAAUAGGAUACUUCCAUUCAAUCAUUCAUCCCACAAUAACUAACAAAGCCAAUCCAAUCCACUAACCUUCUCAUUUGUCAUGUUUUUCACAUCCAAAAAUUAACAAUACAUUUGCCAAAAUAAGAUUUUUACAACCCAUGAACAACCGUCAUUAGAGAUCACUGUAUUUUUCAUUGUUGUAAUUGUGCAGAUCUAUUGCAAGGUGUUUCAUUUAGUCAAACUAAAAAAAAAAUGAUUUUUUUAGUGCCCUUUAAUUUGAUUAGUGUUGGGUUUUGAAGAUUAUACAAAUUGAAACUGCAUAUGAAAAAUUAAUGUCCAAUCUCGAUCAUCGCCUUCUAUUCAUAAUUGGAGAAAGUGUUUUUAAGGCUGGGAAGGGGAAAAUAACAGAAUAAUCAAAGUUUAAUGAGUUGUGAAAUUAAAAAGAGAGUACACGUAUAAAAUUUUAAUUGGGAACACUAGGAACAAGACUUAGGGUACUGUAUCUAAGUUUUGUCCAUUAGAGAAUAAAUGGAGAGACGGAUCCGUAAACUUAUUAUACGGAUGCCUGAAAAUAGCAAUAUAAUAAAACUAUAUUUAUUGAUUAUCAAAAUAAAAUAAAACUAUAAUUACAUAAAAAUAUUAAUAUUUUCAUAAUAUGCUAAUAUAAAAAUAAUUAUUUAGAUCUUUAAACAUAUAUCUUUUGUUAGUCGGACUUGAGCAUGUGCAAAGGGGGCUAAAAAAGAUUGUCCAUUAACAAGGGCCGCCAUAAGUAUGUUCAAAGUGUGUUAUAUAGUCGGACAUCAUUUUUUGUGGGCUAAAAAAAUUAUAUGAUAGUAAAUAUGUAAAAAAAGAUGAAAAGAUUGAUUAAAAAAUAAAAUAAACACCCCAAUAUUUCUUUAAUCUAUCUUUAUUAAAAUGUAAUUUCAAAACCCAACACAAAGUGGGGCUUCAUAAAAUACAUAAAGUGAGCAAAAAAGAUAUAUUAUGAAGAUUUAUUUGAUUAAAAUAUUUUUUUUUUUGAGACAAAAAUAUAAAUAUUUUUUAUAUUAGUUAUAAGAAUGAUUAUUUUUUAUAUUACUAAUAUCAUUUGCAGUUUAAAUAAAAAAAAAAAUUAAUUUUUUUUUGGAUACAUUUUUUUAAAUUUUUUAGUGGUGUCUUUAGAAAUGAUGAUGCUAAGUUUUUGUAUUGUUUUGCUGGACCUUAGACAUUGUUUCUCCCUAUCUUGCUGAGUUGUGUGGAGCAAUGAGAGCUAUUGAGUUAGCUUAUCAGUGGAAUUUGAAGAAUUUAUGGUUGGAAACUGAUUCAGUCAUGGUUGUUUCAACUUUCAAUAACAUCUCUGAUUCUGUUACUUGGAACUUAAGAAACAGAUGGUUUAACAUUAGGACCCUGCUUAAUGAGAUGAACUGUAUUGUCACUCAUAUUCAUAAAAAAGGUAACAAAGUUGCAGACUUGCUUGCUUGUCAUGGUUUGUCCUUAAACGCUAUCUCACAUUUGAAUGUUGCUCCCAAUUUCAUUAGGGAUAGUCUUGCUAAGAACCAUUUAGGUCUACCUAAUUUUCGCUUUUAUUCUUCUUGAUGGAGCUUUUGGUUUAUGUCCUCUCCAUUUGUAUUCUGUUUCUCUUUUUAUAUAAUUUUUGAGUUGGUUUGCGUUUUGCUGCCGCUCAUUUGGUUUUUAAAAAAUAUAUAUAUAUUCAGAGAUGGGCUCAAAAAAUUAGAGCCGGCCUUGCUAAUUAAUAUAAUUAAUUAUAAGUGAAUAAAUGGUAUAAAACACACAAUAUAAUGUUUGAAUUAGUCACGAUUGCAUUUUUUUAGUGACACACAAUAUAUAAAACUUUAAAUUUCUAGUAGAUAAAACAACUUUAAAUGUCUGAUUCGGUCAAUAGUUGAGAGAAAUAUAACUGGAAUACAUCGAUAGAUAUUAAGUACGUGUAGGACAUUUUAAAAAGAAAGUGUAAGUAUUUUUUUUAAUAAGCAAAAGAAAUAUAUUAAAUUAAAUUAAGUAUAAGGUAUGCUUAAAGAUAAAAGUUCGUACACAACGAAAAAAACAAAUAAAGUGCAUGACCAUCCUAUGUUGAGCCUCAUACAAACUUUUGGAUUUAGUAUCAAUGAUUUAGAUCGGAACAAAAAUCUUGUUUCCUUGCUUUAAACCACCACCAGACUUGAACUUUGGUGGUAAUGAUUAACAUGCCAAUAGUAAUUGUCUUGUCAUUAAAAACUCUAUCAUUUCAAGCUUUUUAGAUACUCCAGAUUGAGGCUAACUAACUUGCUUGUAAACAACUCCUAAUAUUUUUAGAAAACCCAUGAGCCCCACAAAAUUGUGAUGCGAACGAAAUUGCAUUAUCAGGAAGAACACGCGUGAUCCCUAACCAGUAAAUGAUGUCACUCCAAAACGCACUAAAAUGGGGCAAUUCAGAAAUAGAUGAUAGAUAUCCUCAAUAUAUAGCAUCACAACCAAAUGAGCAUAACAGAAAAUCAUUACGUAAACAUCCACGAGCAAAAAGAGUAAACUUUGUGGGUAACCUGUCAUUAAUAAAUCGCCAAGCGAAAGUGGAAAUCUUUGAUGGUACAAGCUUAUUCCAAAUAAGAUCGUUGUGAGGAGACGUCUCUCUUGGAUACAAGUGAGUCAAAAGAUGAUAAGCUCCACAUACUGAAUAACCUGUAUCAGGAUUGGGAAUGUAUCAGGAUCGGGAAUUCACUCUCACUCAUCAGAAGAACCAAUCUGCAACACAACAUUAGCCACAAUAGUACAACAAUAGCCCCAUAAUUGUUCUUCCCAAGCAAACAAUUGUCUACGCCACUGCCACCCAUUCCCUGCUAACUCCCACCCGAGCCUAUUCAUAUCCGCCACAGUCACAUCUUUAUCUAAGCACAAAUCAAACAAUCUAUUAAAUUGAAACUUCAACGAAAUCUCAUCCACUCAAUUAUCCUUCCAAAAUAAAGUCAUUUCUCCAUACUCUAUCAUCUCUACUACAUUAUCACCAAACCACCUCUCACCUCACUGCCCACAUCAUUCACAAACAUAAUACUAUUAAUAUCAUGCCACCAACUAGAAACUUACCCCCAUCCACCUGGUCAUUCGACAUUCCAUAUUUAGCUGUUAAAACGUUAAACUACAAAUUCUCAAAUUCUUACAACAACCUAUAACACUACUUGCCAAGAAGAGAAAUGUUACUAGUCUAAAGAAAAAGAAGAGGAAGUGUAAGAAUAAUAACUAACGAAAAAGAAAUAAUUAUUUUAGUUGAGAUAAAAUAAAUAUAUUGAAAAAAGUAAUAGCCUGCCUUUGAAUAAGUAAGUAUGCUUUUUGGACCAAUGCUACCCAAGUUGGUUAUGUAACGCGGAUUUGGAUUUGAUAGAGACAUCAAUCUAUGCAUGAAUCAAAUUAAAGUAUUAAACAAUGGAAAAAAAAGUAAAGUAUACUCCGUAGCUUAUUAGCUGGAAAAUGUUGAUAUUGCUAUUAUUUUCUUUUCUUUAUACCGAGAGAGUAUCGGUACCGAUUACGUACCAGAUACACUGGUACGAGUAUUACUCUUUUCAUUUUAAAUUAUAAGUCGUUUUGACUGUAUUAAAUAAAUUAAAAAAUAUAAUUAAUAUUGUAAAAAAAGAAAAAAAAUUAAAAAAUAUAGUUUACAAAAUUGUUUUUAAUUAAUCAUAUGAAAAGAAAUUAAAAAAUUUAAAUAUAAAAGAGUAAUAAAUAAUUAUGGGUAUAAAAUAUUUCUUUUAAAGCAACUUAGAAUUUGCAUCAAUUUUUUUAAAGCAACUUAAAAUUUAGAACCCAGAGAGUAAUAAUUAUAUAUCAAUCAUUUUUAUUAUUUUCAAAACAAUUAUUUUAUCAUUUUGUUUGUAUAUACGCGUGGUCAUGGUUGAAUUAAUUAUUUAUGCAUAAACUUAUUAGAAAUACAAAUAAAACAAAUAGUUAUUAUUAGAAGGCCAUGUGAAUUAAUAAUAUGAUAUUAAUUUUUGGUAGAUGUUGAAAACUAGGUGAAUUGUAAUAGGUAUCAAAUCAGACUAAUGCUACGGUGGACCACCUUCACAAGUGGUCCAUCGUGGACAAGUGAUAGGUGGUUCAUCGUGGACAACCGAAUAUGAAUUUUACAAAAUUUACUAUUGGAUUGAAAGUUUAUAUCGUAUAGAUCAUCCAUAAAUUUUUUUAAUUUUUUUUGAAAAUCAUUUGUUGUGUUAUUGAGACCCAUCAAGAUUUACGUUAUUUAAUAAAUCGUUAAUCUUGAUGUGUCUCAAUAACAUAUCAAAUUGUUUUCAAUUUUUCUAAAUUUUUCUAUAGGUGUUCUAUAUGAUCUAAACUUUCAAUCCAACGGUAGAUUUUGUAAAAUUCGUAUUGUUAUAAUGUUAUUCGUGACUGAUCACCAUGAACCAUUGGAUGAAGUGAUCCAUAUUAGAAUUUAACAUCAAAUCAAAGCAGACCAACCAAGAUAAAAAGAUGAGAUAAUUUAGUAAAGAAAAAACUAUAUAAAGGGUUAUGCUGUCUUUCAAAAUAGCAGCAACAAAACCCACGUUGGGAAAACAUGGGGUCUCAAAUGGCCUCUAUUACUCUAACUAUUGCUUUGACAAUACUAUCUCUCAGCUUGCCAACUCAAGCAAACAACUAUAUCUAUUCAUCUCCACCACCACCCCCUAAGCCUUACUACUACCACUCUCCACCACCACCGGUGUACUCACCUCCUCCUCCUUACCAUUAUAGUUCACCACCCCCACCACCAAAGNNNNNNNNNNNNNNNNNNNNNNNNNNNNNNNNNNNNNNNNNNNNNNNNNNNNNNNNNNNNNNNNNNNNNNNNNNNNNNNNNNNNNNNNNNNNNNNNNNNNNNNNNNNNNNNNNNNNNAGUUUACAAGUACAAGUCACCUCCUCCACCAGUGUACAAGUAUAAAUCUCCUCCACCACCAGUUUAUAAGUACAAGUCACCUCCUCCACCGGUUUAUAAGUACAAAUCUCCACCACCUCCACCAAAGAAGCCAUAUAAGUAUCCAUCUCCACCUCCACCAGUUUACAAAUACAACUCACCUCCUCCUCCCUAUAAGUAUCCAUCACCUCCACCACCACCAUACAAGUAUCCAUCACCACCACCACCAGUCUACUCUCCCCCACCGCCAUAUAAGUACGCAUCACCUCCACNNNNNNNNNNNNNNNNNNNNNNNNNNNNAUCACCACCUCCACCAGUCUACUCCCCUCCACCUCCAUAUAAGUACGCAUCACCUCCACCACCACCAUACAAGUAUUCAUCACCACCUCCACCAGUCUAUUCUCCCCCACCUCCAUACAAAUACCCAUCACCUCCACCACCAACGUACAAGUAUCCUUCACCUCCUCCUCCUUACAAGCACAUAUCACCCCCUCCAACCCCUGUUUACAAGUAUAAGUCUCCUCCUCCUCCUGUCUACUCACCUCCACCACAUUACAUCUAUUCAUCCCCUCCUCCUCCAUACCACUUCUAGGUAGUGGUUUAUCACAUGGUAUGCUUACGACCUACACAAAACAUUUCAGAACUCAAUUAUGUUAUUUAGAUACAAAUAACAAUAAAAAAUUUAUUGGAGACAAAAAGAUAAAAGUGACCAUAAACGUCUCUAAUAUUUAGCCAUGUAAUUAGAAAUGAAUUUUUAUUCACUUACAAUUUUUGUUUUUCAACUUAGAAUUCAAAUUUGACAAAAUUUUAAUUGAUUGUUUUUCAACUUGUCUAUAUUUUAUCAUUGAAACAACUAAAUAAGAAAAAUCAAAAGACUCCAAAUCAUUAUCGUUCUUUUUUCUUUUUCUUUUUUAUAAGUAAAAUAGGUCCCACUUUUAUUUAAUUCAUAUACUUUUCUUACAGCUUUCAUUCCUAUAGUCUAAUUAUAUUUUGUGUGCCUAAAAUUGUUUAAUGAAUGAUAUUAAUAUUAUUUACAUGUGUAUAUACUUUUGUAGGAUUUGAGGAAUAUUGAAAAUAAAAGAGAGAACAUACUGCAAAGCAGGGAAGAUACAUUUCAAAAUAAUAUACAAGGAAAAAAACAUGGAAGCAAAGUUUGUCUCAAAGAAAAGUCCCUCUUUUUUACUCAUUUGUUUUGUUAUGAAUUAUAUUAUUAUUAUUCUUAUUAUUAGAGUGCUUGGUUUUUAAAAUUAAAUAAGGCACAUGUGUGUAAUAUCAUAAAUGCAUUUUGUUUUGCAACCUACGUACUACUCUAUAAGGGGUUGCCAAAAUAAAAUUGAAUAUUUCUUCUUCUCAGUCUUUGCAUAUAUUUAAUGAGAAAUUAUAUUCUACAAUUCUCCCGUGCCACAAUAACUAUUGCACUUUAAUUAGUAUUUUACUUAGAUUAUUAAAAAUUGAUGAAUGAAAGACAAAUAAUGACAAUUUUAUUAAAUUAUUCUUAUUGAUUAUUGAUGCAGUUGCUUUAUCAUAAAUACAAAGUGAAAUAAUAAUUUGAGAGUGAUUCACAUAUAUUAAUUAAUUAAUUAAAUAAUACAAUUAGAUGGAGAAAAACAAUUAAAAUUAAAACUAUACAUAUAGAAAAUUGAAAGUGACACUUUUACAAAUUUAUGACAAUUAUUUUAAGACAAUGAUAUGAUUAUAUGACAUGCAUUUCAUCCGCUAAAAAAUUAAGAAUUCAACAUGACAAUCAGUUUGAUUUAAAAACUGGUCAUAAGAUUGGACAAUAUAUAAAGCCAAAAACUUGACAAAACAUCAAUUAUUAUCUCGCUGAAUUAUGAGACAACUUUAUGUUCAGAGUAUCAAAAAUAUUAAAAUAUCAUUUUCAUUAAUUAUCUAUCUUUCUCCUAUACAUUUAUGUCUUGUCAUGUAUGUGCUAUUUUGUCAUGUCAUAUACUGUUAUAUCUGAUACUUACUGUUUUGCGAAUUAAAUGCAUCGUACAAUUAACUUCAAAAAGGGAGCUAGGGUGGAUUAGCUUAAUUUAUUUUUUGAAUGGUAAAUAUAUUAUAUAUUAAUAUAAAAAAUACAAGAGAAGGUUAAAAAAAGAAGAAAAAAAAAGAGGUACGAGCAGUACACUUCACUAUAACCCAACAAUUUCUACGGUAAGACAACAAAAUAAACAUGCAAAUAAAACUACAAGAAAACAAAGAUGCACACUCCAAACAAAUUACAACCCUUCAAAGACAAGAGAUCACCACGAGAAGAAGAAUAUACAUAUAUCUUAGGAAGAGAGAGACAAAGAUUGACCACAUGUAGGACAAAACAAUAAGAGGACCUUCAAUCCCCCUUACAUUAAUCUCAAAUGAUUAAUAAAAUCUCUUCUAAAACUAACUCUAAAUUAUUGAAGUCCCCUUCUUCUAAAAACCAGAUAAUCGUGCUCUCAAAUUGAUUUUAGUGUUUGGAACUUGUUGAAAAAACAGAUAGGUGUUGUUAUCAAUCCGAGCAGUAUAUACACUAUUUGGCAUUAACAACUUCUAAGUAUUAUUCAACAAGUUUGAAAAAUUUAUGAUGGUUUUUUCAUUUUGAAAGGUGAUGAAUUGGCGACGAAUGAAUUGUCUUUUCAUGAAGUUGUAAUUGUAAACAUAGAAAACAAAUUAAAUAUUAAAGUUAAAAGAAUUUUUUUUUUCUUGACAAAAGUUAAAAGAAUAUAUAUGAGCAGGUUUAAAUUUGUCUUACAAUUACAAAUGCUGAAUUUAAAUAAUUUUUUUGAAAAAAAAUGAUGCAUUUAGUUUAAGUUCUAAAUUAUUCAAUUCGAUGGGCCUUUAAGCACACAAACAUGUUAUGAGAUUUUCUUUUUGCACCUCACAAUCACUUCCGAUGUAUACUUUAGAAAAAGAAAAGCAUACUAUGUUUUUAGUAUUUCAGAAAUUUACUUCCAACAAAAAAUACAUAUUUUUCCCGAUUGAUAACAAAUAUUUUCCAGUAACUUAUUGAUUUUUCUUGGAUUACUCAUUUGUAGAUAAAACCGAAAUUUACAAACAUUUGAUUCAAUAUUGUUAUGUAGUGGACAAUAGUAAUUCUUUAAUUGGCAUCUAAUAAUACAUUUCUAGAUCCGUCUCUAAUCACUACAAGAAAUAUGGCGAUUUCCUAGAAAAAUUCCAAAAAAACAAACCAAAAUUCCUAGAAAAUGGUGGUUUCCGUGGAAAAAAAUCGUAAGUAUUUCAUGGAAAUUACCGAGGAACUAUGGCAACUUUCGAGGUAUUCAAUAAAAACGCAUAAAUCAUUAAUCUUCAUCGGUCUCAAUAACAUAUCAAACAAUUUUAGUUUUUGUAAAAUUUAACAUGGAUGAUCUAUACGAUAUAAACUUUCAAUCCAACGGUGGAUUUUGUAAAAUUUGUAUUCGUUAAAGCGUUAUUGAGCGGUGUAACAUUAGUCAAAUGUUUUUUUUGAAGAGGCUAAAUUAGCCCGCCCAAAUUGGCACCAGAGAGAAUCGAACCUCAGACCUCAAGAGAAGCACACUCCCAGGUUCCAAACCAAUACCAAUGCACCAACCCAAGUGAGUUUUCAACAUUAGUCAAAUAUUACACCAGUGUGAAUUUUUAUUAUUAUUUUUUUAUAGAAUAAUUUUUAUUCAAUAUUGUAGUUAUGAAAUUUAAGAUUUGAAUAUUUUUUAUUGACUGGGUUAGUAGUUAUGUGACCCAGUGAUCCAAUGCUUUGAUCGGAUCGAUCACCGGUCCGGGUUUUAAAACACUGAGAUGAAUAGGUGUUUUAAACAAUAUUGGCAUGCACUGCAUGAUUAAUUCAACCAUAAGUAAAUGCACUAAAUUACCUGUUGUGUGAUUUCGGUACCUAGGAUACGAAGGUAAGCAAAUUCAUAUUGCACUUACCGAAUUGGUUGGUCAAGAUGGGGCCUGGAAGUAUUAUAGGGGGCCUUAAAAAGCAAUUUUCAAGAACAAUUUGUUUGCAACAGAUCCAACCCAAACUGAGAGUAUUCUAAACUAAAGACCCAAUUUUUUUUCCCAAUUAAAAGUAAAAACUAGGACCUAACUCCAUUAUUCUUUUGGGGAGGAAUAAAUUUCAGUAGAAAAAAAAGUAACUAACCAAAAAAUUGGUGGUGCACAUGUUCACAGCGGCGGCAAGAGUCAACAGCAGGGCGGCAUAGUCUCGUCGACGGUAGGAACAUGGCAAAAUUUUUGUGUUGAUGCUUCGGUUAUGUUAAGACUUAAUGAAAAUAAUUAAUUAGAGAGAAAGACACCUAACACACUAUGAUACAUGCGAUUAAUCAGAUGAGUGAAAUUGACCUAAAGUCACCUAACUUUCUGCUAGAAAGUUAGAGAAUAAGGAUCCGCCAAUAUAACUAGUGUUUUUAUAUUGGACACUAAAUAUUUUCAAGACAAACUUUUUGAGGGGUUAAUUUAUGACAAACUUAAGAUCUUUAGGGGUUAAUUUAUGGUAAAACUGAGAUUUUUUGUUUAAAACUAUCAUAAACUGGAAUAUUUAGGAAUUAAAUUGGGGCAAAACUAAAAUUUUUGUUAGACUAAAAUUUUGUCCAAACUAAAUAAUAUUUCUAGCUCAGCCACCGUUUUUGCCUUAAUUUAGUAAUUAGCCAAUACCUCAAGAAACACUAUACUUAAGUAGCAUUCUUUAGAGUAAUUAAUAAAUUAGAGUUGAAGGAAAUUAUAUUUAUCUUCUCUAAAAAUAUUAGUACGAAUCGAACUUAGAAUUUCUCGGAUCAAAUAUCAGUUUUUAUUUUGGUAGAUUGUAGAUCUAUUUUAUUUUUUUUUAUUACUAGAUCAAACACUUAAAAAUGGAGAAUUUUAAUAUUAUGACACGAGUAAAAAAAUAAAGUGAAUAUGAAAUGACUUUAAUUAGAAAUAUUCAUUAUCAUUUAGUAAAUAAAUAAAUAUUUAUCAUCCAAGACUUUCUUGUGUGUGUAUUUGAAUUGUCGAAAAACUUUGCUUACAAAAGUACAAGAAAAGAUAAUUAAAUAAGAUUUGAGUCAUUUUCUUGCCAUGAAAAUAACUAAAAAAGGGUAAUGUCAACAUUAUCAGCUAAUUAUCUUCUGCUUAAUUAUAUUGCUAUCCCUAUUGCUAAUGCUACCUGUGUAUAUAUAAAACCAAUAAUAAUUACUGGUAACCAAUUACGGCUUUGCCAAUUUUUUAUUUUUCUUUUUUAAACGGCUAAAUUUUAUAAAUAAUGCAACUGAGCACAAGACGAGUACAAUCCGUAAAAUCAAGUCAUACAAAAACUCUUCACAAAUGAAAAAUUCCAACAACACCAAUGACAACCCCUAAAACCCUUAAAACCAUCCAUUGAGAACAACUAAAACAAAAACCUAUAAUAGUAAGAAGAAAAAAAAUCCACAAAGUCAAGCAGAAGCAGAUGCAUCAAAAUUAUUAUAAAUACUACGAAUUUUACAAAAUUUAUCAUUGUAUUGAAAAUUUAUAUCAUAUAGAUUAUCCAUAUUUUUUUUUAAAGAAAUCGAAAAUUAUUUGAUAUGUUAUUGAGAUCAAUCAAGAUUAACGGUAUUUAAUAAAAACUCAUGAACCGUUAAUGUUGAUAUAAUGUUGUUCAAUGGUAUUUUGUUCGUUGUCUUGGUAUAAUGUUUAUUAAUUUUCUGUCUUGUUAUAGAGUUUAUUUAGUUUAAAAUGUCGUAUCAACUUCGAUUCAUUAUAGAUUCAAUUAAUCAUUUUGGGUGUGUUGCAUAUUCAAAGACGGUACUAAUCUAGUCACUUUAAUUUUGUUACAUUUACUAUUAUUUUAUGCUAUUAAUUUAAAUGUUAUGUCGUAGGUUCAUACUUAUAAUUUUUACAUGCAAAAAUAACAUGAUUUAUAAAAUAAAAUAAAAAGUUGAAACAUUAAUAUGAUAUAGGAAAAAACUAUAUAUAUGGGUAACCUACCAUCCCUAAAAUCAUAACCAAAAUACAUUUUUAAGUGAACUAUAAGGGGGAGAAUGAGGUCUCCAACAAUGGCCUCCUCUUCACUCAUUAUUGUAUUAGCAGUACUCUCUCUAAGCUUGGCAUCUCAAAUCUCAGCAGACUAUGCCUCUCAUCCACCACCAUCACCAAAGAUUCCACCACCGGUUUACAAAUCUCCACCUCCACCAUAUAAGUACCCUUCUCCACCACCACCACCUAAGAAGCCUUACACUCCAUCACCUCCACCACCGGUUUACAAAUCUCCACCUCCACCUUAUAAGUACCCUUCUCCACCACCACCACCUAAGAAGCCUUACACUCCAUCACCUCCACCACCAACUUACAAGUCCCCACCACCACCUUAUAAGUACCCAUCUCCACCACCACCACCCAAGAAACCUUACAAUCCAUCUCCUCCACCCCCAGUUUACAAAUACAAGUCUCCACCUCCACCGUAUAAGUACCCUUCUCCUCCAC
This 28518-nucleotide long non-coding RNA is filed under the name Trifolium pratense (red clover). RNAcentral describes it as "long non-coding RNA (TPRA_LNC000558)". The record is from RNAcentral. Lineage: Eukaryota; Viridiplantae; Streptophyta; Magnoliopsida; Fabales; Fabaceae.